AACUUAAGCAUAUCAAUAAGCGGAGGAAAAGAAACCAACAGGGAUUGCCUCAGUAACGGCGAGUGAAGCGGCAACAGCUCAAAUUUGAAAUCUGGCUCCUUCGGGGCCCGAGUUGUAAUUUGCAGAGGAUGCGUCGGGUACGGGUGCCUUCCGAGUUCCCUGGAACGGGACGCCAUAGAGGGUGAGAGCCCCGUCUGGUAGGAUACCCAGCCCGUGUGACGCUCCCUCGACGAGUCGAGUAGUUUGGGAAUGCUGCUCUAACGGGAGGUAUACUCCUUCCAAGGCUAAAUACCGGCUGGAGACCGAUAGCGCACAAGUAGAGUGAUCGAAAGAUGAAAAGCACUUUGAAAAGAGAGUCAAACAGCACGUGAAAUUGUUAAAAGGGAAGCGCUCGCUACCAGACUUGGGUUCGGCGGUUCAACCGGGGCCACGCCCCGGGGCAUUCCGCCGGCCCAGGCCAGCAUCAGCUUUCCGUCGGGGGUAAAGGCGUCGGGAAUGUGGCUCCCCUUCGGGGGAGUGUUAUAGCCCGUCGUGUCAUACCCUUCGGGGGGCUGAGGUACGCGCUUCUGCAAGGAUGCUGGCGUAAUGGUAGCUAGUGACCCGUCUUGAAACACGGACCAAGGAGUCAACCUUAUGUGCGAGUGCCCGGGCGUAAAACCCCAGCGCGGAAUGAAAGUGAACGUAGGUGAGAGCUUCGGCGCAUCACCGACCGAUCCUGAUGUCCUCGGACGGAUUUGAGUGAGAGCAUAUAGGGUUGGACCCGAAAGAAGAUGAACUAUGCGUGUGUAGGGUGAAGCCAGAGGAAACUCUGGUGGAGGCUCGCAGCGGUUCUGACGUGCAAAUCGAUCGUCAAACAUGCGCAUGGGGGCGAAAGACUAAUCGAAUCUUCUGGUAGCUGGUUUCCGCCGAAGUUCCCUCAGGA
Molecule: ribosomal RNA, 922 nt
Filed under: Plectosphaerella cucumerina
Lineage: Eukaryota; Fungi; Ascomycota; Sordariomycetes; Glomerellales; Plectosphaerellaceae
Description: partial large subunit ribosomal RNA
Rfam family: Eukaryotic large subunit ribosomal RNA
Source: RNAcentral